Molecule: long non-coding RNA, 223 nt
Organism: Scatophagus argus
Lineage: Eukaryota; Metazoa; Chordata; Actinopteri; Scatophagidae
Exons: 2
Source: RefSeq, a predicted model, not a curated record
GUUUACACUCGAAGAGUUUCCCACGUUGUAUGAACGUCUCACAGUUUGCAUUCUUUCCAGCUGUAUUUUGCAUUCUUUUGAGCCCAAAGAUAGCAUUGUUGUUUCACAAAUUUCUUACACGUCAUUAAACCUGUGGACGGCAAAUCUAGUCUUCAGAGUCGUGAUGUUAAGAAGAGUUUAUCUGGCUGUUAGUGUAUGAAAGUGUACCGAAGGCAGCACAGUG